RNA transcript from Papaver somniferum (opium poppy), 1742 nucleotides. RefSeq lists it as uncharacterized. Lineage: Eukaryota; Viridiplantae; Streptophyta; Magnoliopsida; Ranunculales; Papaveraceae. The transcript is spliced from 5 exons. The record is from RefSeq and is a predicted model, not a curated record.
UAAAAGGCUAAAACCCUAAUAAUCUUUUCUUCGUUCUUCCAUUCCAUAUCCUAAAAACAAGUUUUGAUCUGUUUACAAUUCACGAAUUUUUAGUUUAGGUAUACGAUUGAGAUUAGGACAUGCAGGUAGAUCGAGGCUGUGAAAAUAUAAAGUAGGGUUUUACCUCCUUCGCCACUACCAGAAACCAAUUGUACCAAAGCAAAGAUUGCCGAGGAUACUAAAAACAUUGACGGGCAUUUAACAGGCUUCUGAGAAUCAAUCACAAAGUUUACAAUGUCAAGGUAGUUGUGCAAGUUAUGAGGUGCUUAGCUCACACAAUCUGGAUUGGCAACUCUGUAGCAGUGGCAACCUCCAUCGAUUUAAUAUGGAACCAUCUGUUUGGUGUCUGGAAUGGUGACAGCAGAAUUUCUUCAAGCCAAGACACUUACUUGAAUUCAGAUUCUACUGAUUCAGCUAAGUACUAGCCUUCCCAAACUUGAAUAUAGAUUUACUAUCUAUGAUGUCGAACGUCCCUUGAGAGCAGAAAAUUCCCCCUAAUUGUUGUCAUUCGUUGGUAAAUUCAAAACCAAUUUUGAUUUUACUAUUAACUUUGGUUUCACCCUUUAGUAACUCAAACUGUAUAGGGCUUCCUGUUACCGCUUCGAGGAAAGACCCGUCAUAAUAGCAAGUAGAUUUCACACUAGAGAGAAGCAGAUCGAUGAAUUACUGUUGUCGUCUUUAGUGGCGAUACAUGCAGACCAUGCAAGCAAGGAGGUCAGUACAACGCAAAAGCCGGUGUCCAUCUUGAACCAUUAAUCACUCAUAGUGAUGGCGGUGUUAGUGAAAAUAAUAACUAUGAAACGGAUGCAAUUUUUCCACAUAGUCACACUUCUGGUCCAAAUUUGGCUGCUGAUGAGCUGAGGGAGUUGCACAGGUUUGGCAGGGAGUCAAGCAACAUAAUAUUAUUAUUAUUAUUAUUUUUAUUUUUAUUAUAGGGGUAGGCCUUAUAUGUCAGCUAAAUAAUCACAUUCAUGUUAACUGUUCACCACCUAGCCACGUGGUUACGAUACUUGAUUAUGUUGUUGCAAAUUGCAUGCCACAUCCACAACUUGAAAGUAACAAUCUGUUUUUUUUUUUUUUUUUAAUUUGGCACAUUAUCCUUUCUUGCGAUCAAGUCGAAGGACUAAAAAUAUGCACGCUUGAUUUUUGAUAACAAAUUAAAAAUUCUAAUACAUCUAGAUAGUACGAUUUUUAUGAUUCUGCCAUAGUGCUGUGGCACCAGGGGUUCACAAUGCAUCUUUCUCAUGAAUAUGAUUAUUCAGGUGAAAAUUACAAAUUAAAAACACAUCGGGACAAGAAAAAUCUAAGAGUUCUUUGCUCAUGUUGUUUCGAUAAGUUACUAACCGAAUUGGAAUGACUAAGUUUUUUUUCUCCUUUUUUUUUGGUUAUUUCAGCGAAGAUGGUGAUCGAGGUGGUUAUGGAGAAAAUGGGGACGUCAUGCGUUCAGACAACAACAAAGAUGGAGGAUCUGGGUCGGAAAGACAUCAACAACAUGGAAACCGCUUGCAGUAUGUACUGAUAGAAUCUAUAUACACUUUGAUGCCAAGCUCAUUUCCUGAGAAGCAACUGUGUAAACAAAUGUUAGUGCCACUAAUGUUAAUCCCAGCAUAUAAGCAAGCUUUGUGGUGAGCAUCUGAAAUGUCUCUACCAAAACGGUAUUAAGAACCCUGAGUGAGAAAUAACAAAUGUUACUGACUAAGAAA